RNAcentral lists this ribosomal RNA (253 nucleotides) under uncultured bacterium. RNAcentral's name for it is "partial 16S ribosomal RNA". It matches the Rfam family "Bacterial small subunit ribosomal RNA", at positions 524 to 776 of the family's 1533-position model. The record is from RNAcentral.
UACGUAGGGGGCUAGCGUUGUCCGGAAUCAUUGGGCGUAAAGAGCUCGUAGGCGGCUUGUCGCGUCGGAUGUGAAAGCCCGGGGCUUAACUCCGGGUCUGCAUUCGAUACGGGCAGGCUAGAGUUCGGUAGGGGAGAUCGGAAUUCCUGGUGUAGCGGUGAAAUGCGCAGAUAUCAGGAGGAACACCGGUGGCGAAGGCGGAUCUCUGGGCCGAUACUGACGCUGAGGAGCGAAAGCGUGGGGAGCGAACAGG